RNAcentral lists this ribosomal RNA (253 nucleotides) under uncultured bacterium. RNAcentral's name for it is "partial 16S ribosomal RNA". It matches the Rfam family "Bacterial small subunit ribosomal RNA", at positions 524 to 776 of the family's 1533-position model. The record is from RNAcentral.
UACAGAGGUGCCGAGCGUUAGGCGGAAUCACUGGGCUUAAAGCGUGUGUAGGCGGAUUUCUAAGUGUCUUGUGAAAUCCCAUGGCUCAACCAUGGAACUGCUGGAUAUACUGGGAAUCUUGAGCUACCUAGGGGCGACCGGAACAAAUGGUGGAGCGGUGAAAUGCGUAGAUAUCAUUUGGAACGCCAAUGGUGAAAACAGGUCGCUGGGGGUAUGCUGACGCUGAGACACGAAAGCUAGGGGAGCAAACGGG